This 492-nucleotide ribosomal RNA is filed under the name uncultured bacterium. Its description in RNAcentral is "partial 16S ribosomal RNA". It matches the Rfam family "Bacterial small subunit ribosomal RNA", at positions 28 to 507 of the family's 1533-position model. The record is from RNAcentral.
GGUGAACGCUGGCGGUAGGCCUAACACAUGCAAGUCGAACGGCAGCACAGUAAGAGCUUGCUCUUACGGGUGGCGAGUGGCGGACGGGUGUGGAAUACAUCGGAAUCUACUUUUUCGUGGGGGAUAACGUAGGGAAACUUACGCUAAUACCGCAUACGACCUACGGGUGAAAGCAGGGGAUCUUCGGACCUUGCGCGAUUGAAUGAGCCGAUGUCGGAUUAGCUAGUUGGCGGGGUAAAGGCCCACCAAGGCGACGAUCCGUAGCUGGUCUGAGAGGAUGAUCAGCCACACUGGAACUGAGACACGGUCCAGACUCCUACGGGAGGCAGCAGUGGGGAAUAUUGGACAAUGGGCGCAAGCCUGAUCCAGCCAUACCGCGUGGGUGAAGAAGGCCUUCGGGUUGUAAAGCCCUUUUGUUGGGAAAGAAAAGCAGCAGGUUAAUACCCCGCUGUUCUGACGGUACCCAAAGAAUAAGCACCGGCUAACUUCGUG